RNAcentral lists this long non-coding RNA (765 nucleotides) under Durio zibethinus. RNAcentral's name for it is "long non-coding RNA (DZIB_LNC000142)". The record is from RNAcentral. Lineage: Eukaryota; Viridiplantae; Streptophyta; Magnoliopsida; Malvales; Malvaceae.
AAAACUCUAAUCCCUAAAAUUAGAGACUCAAACCCUAAUUUAAAACAAUCUAAAUGAAUUAAUCAAAUAGUUUUUUGGACGAAUCCAAAUCUACAAUUUCAUGUGUUUCAAAUAAAAUCCUAAAUCAACUAAGGAGUUAAACCUAGAUAACAAAUUUUGAAGAGAAAAUAGAAACCCAAAAAAUAAUAAAUUCAAUCAAAUUAAAAACCCAAAUCAAAUUUAACAAAAAACUAAAACCUCAAAUCAAAUUCAUCAACAAACUAAAAACCCAAAUCAACAACAAAUUUGAAGAAAAAAUAGAAACCCAAAAACAAAAAAGAAAAAACCCACUUAAUUCAGUCAUAUCAAAAGAUAUGUAAAUCAAAACAAAAUCAAAUCUAUUAAAAAACCCAAAAACAAAUAUUAACACCAUAUUGGAAUUUGUGAUUUUAAAUUUAAUAAUAUAAUAAAAAGUAAUAAAAAAAAAGAACAAAUCAAUAUGAGAUAAAAAGGAUAAUGAAUGAUUGCCGACAAGUGAAUAGUUAACAACAAUAGUAAGAAAAAGGAGACAACAUGUGAGAUCAAUGAAUGAAUAACUAAUAGUCAUGGGGAAAAAUGAAAAAUAAAGAAGAGAAAAAGAAGUGAAAAUUUUCAAGCUAGAGAAAAAAGAGGGGUAGAGGUCAGCAAUUUACAAAACGAAAGUAAAAGUGAGGCAGCAAAGAAGAUAAUGAUCAGACGCAAAAGGAGCUGUAACAAAAUUUAAAGGGAAGAAGAAAUCGUUCUGGG